CGCCUCUUGUGCCCCUAAAAUAAGAGGUCCUGCCUGCCCUGUGACAAUAUGUUUAACGGCCGCGGUAUUUUAACCGUGCGAAGGUAGCGCAAUCACUUGUCUUUUAAAUAAAGACCUGUAUGAAUGGCAUAACGAGGGCUUAGCUGUCUCCUCUUUCAAGUCAAUGAAACUGAUCUUUCCGUGCAGAAGCGGAAAUUUAAACAUAAGACGAGAAGACCCUGUGGAGCUUUAGACACUAUGAUAGCUUAUAUUAAUACCUCCAAAGUAAAGGAGAAAGAAACUAAAUUGCUCUACCCUAAUGUCUUUGGUUGGGGCGACCCCGGGGAAUUAAAUAACCCCCAUGUGGAAUGGGAGAACUACUCCUACAACUAAGAGUUACAACUCUAAUAAACAAAAAUUCUGACCAACAAGAUCCGGCAAUACCGAUCAACGAACCAAGUUACCCCAGGGAUAACAGCGCAAUCCUCUUUUAGAGCCCAUAUCGACAAGAGGGUUUACGACCUCGAUGUUGGAUCAGGGCAUCCUAAUGGUGCAGCCGCUAUUAAGGGUUCGUUUGUUCAACGAUUAAAGUCCU
Molecule: ribosomal RNA, 574 nt
Filed under: Paraliparis garmani (pouty seasnail)
Lineage: Eukaryota; Metazoa; Chordata; Actinopteri; Perciformes; Liparidae
Description: partial 16S ribosomal RNA
Rfam family: Bacterial large subunit ribosomal RNA
Source: RNAcentral